UACGUAGGGUGCGAGCGUUGUCCGGAAUUAUUGGGCGUAAAGGGCUCGUAGGCGGUUUGUCGCGUCGGGAGUGAAAACACACAGCUUAACUGUGUGCUUGCUUCCGAUACGGGCAGGCUAGAGUUCGGUAGGGGAGACUGGAAUUCCUGGUGUAGCGGUGAAAUGCGCAGAUAUCAGGAGGAACACCGGUGGCGAAGGCGGGUCUCUGGGCAACAACUGACGCUGAGGAGCGAAAGCGUGGGGAGCGAACAGG
This 253-nucleotide ribosomal RNA is filed under the name uncultured bacterium. RNAcentral describes it as "partial 16S ribosomal RNA". It matches the Rfam family "Bacterial small subunit ribosomal RNA", at positions 524 to 776 of the family's 1533-position model. The record is from RNAcentral.